GGACCACUGCCAGGACCUCAUCUUUUACUCUGGGUGACCCGGAGCCACAGGAGGGUGUGAAGCAGGGGAAAAACACGACCUGGCUUCCUCCGGGUAGGGAGGGAUGGCAGGAUGGGGGACACGGUUUGAAAGACACGGCAAUCAUCCAGGCAAGCGUUUGGUGACUCACACCAGGGUGGGGCUUUGGAGCGGGGAGAGGGAGUGAAGUGAUAGGAUCCUUCUGCAGCCCAUGGGUGAGAAAGAGAGGAGUCAGUGAGGACUGGAAGGCUUUUGGCCUGCGGCCCUGGGAAGACAGAGGUGGUGUGUUCCGCAAUGAAGCUGCAGGAGGGGCGGGGUCACGCAGGGCGGAGAGGAAGUUCAGUUUCUUACCUGGAGCUCUUGAGUUGCCCAUUAGGCAUGUGGAGCCACAGCUGGAUAUUCAACCCUGAGUUCAGGUUGGACAGCAAGUAAAGGUUCAGCUGAAAAGGGGUUUUGCCUACUUUGAAGCAAAAUGUUUGAAAAGCUUUGAUCUUGAAUAAUCUCAUUCUACUGAUGAGAAGACAGGGACCCAGAAAGGAGAGGAAAAAAAAGAUGGUCCCAGACUCAGGCAGACCUGACUCUGGCUGAGUGCCUUACGUGGACAGAAAGAGCACAGGACCCCGCACAGCAUAGGUGUUCUGGGGACCCCGAGCCUGCUGGACACAUGAAAUGAACCUAAGGACCAUCUUUGGGCCUUAUUUUCUGCACCUGUGACCUCAAUGCUUUCCACCGACAUGUACACAGAACCUCUCAACCGCGUGGUGAGAGGACAAACCUGAGGCUCAGAGAGAUAACGUCACUGGCCCCAAGUCACACAGCCAGGAGGUGGAGGAGCCAAGAUUCAAGCCAAGAUCUGUUUGAUUCCAGAACCAAGGCUGCCUUACUGGGCCAGUGAAGCACCUGGGACUCUGGCUUCUUCGGUGCUCCCCCUGUGAUUCUGACGUGCAGCCUCCACCAGAGCAGUGAGGUGUGGGGAGAACGUCUGGUUUGGGGCGUGCAGGCUCCAGUACUGCCUCGCAGCCUGUUUCCCCAUGUGACACGGGGGUGAUGGCAGCGCCUGCCCUGGGGGGUUCCAGAGCAUGGAGUGAUCUAAGUAGAGUGCCUGUAGCGCCGUAAGCACUGGGGGCCAUCCUGCAAGUGUGCUGGCAGCAGCAGCAUUGCCACUGGGCUAGGGGCUGAUGGCCGUCCUGCUCCUUCUCACAGCUCCCCUGGGUACAAGCAUGUCAGCCUCCUAGUUAAGAACUUGAGACAAGCUGGAGAAGACCUCUGGGGGCAUUCAAGAGCCACAGCAUCUGAGUGCAGAGUAGGGGUGCUAAUGCGACUCUGGAAAUACAUCUUACAUGAGUACACGUGUCCACAGAUGUGUGGCCAGGUGACCGCUACUGUGCAAAAGCCAGGAAGCAAGCCUGAUCGUGGUAACAACCGAUGUGUAUUUAGAGCAGGUUUUCUCAACUCAGACGCAUUGAAAUUUGAGACCAGAUAAUUCUUUGCUUUGUGCGUGUUUGGGAGGUGGGGUUGUCUGGCCUGCACUGUAGAGUGUUUAGCAGCAUCCAUGGCCUCAUCCACUAGAUGCCAGUAGCACCCCCAAACCCCCGCCCUUAGUUGACAACCAAAAAUGUCUCUAGACAUUGCCAAAUGUCCCCUGGGGGACAAAACCACUCCCAGCUGAGAACCUCCGGUUUUGCGCUGGAUCUGUGUACGCGUCUUACCCUCACCACCUCCUCCCAGCCUCCUCACACCUGGAGAUGGAUGCUGUCCGUCCUUCCACUCUGCAGAUGCAGGGACAGGGACGUUAGUGGUCUGACCAAGGUCACGUUGCUGGCAUUUCAGCAAAGCCGAGACUCGAACUUGUAAUAACCCAGAUCUCUCUUUUUCUAGUCGCUUUCUGUGGGUUCCUUGGACUUCAUUCACAAUCAUGCCUGAGACUAGAGAUAAUUUCAUUUUGUCUAUCCCCAUCUGGCUGCCUUGGCACAAUUGAGGACAGAACUUGCAUGGCACAAAUUAUAGCUCCAGUAGAUUCUGUGAUCUGCACAGAGACUUUCUUUUGGGGAGUUAAGUUUGCUCAACUAUCGACAAUUUGGAAAAUAUAGAAGAAAGAGAAAAAAAAUGAAAUUUGUUACUGGACUGCCCACUAAGGCCAACUUGCUAGCAGUUUUGUCCUCUGAGUAGCUUUCUCUGCUUUGAAAUUUUGUUACACAGUUGCAAUUACACUUCAUAUACAAUUUCAAAUCCCACUUUUCCCAAACUAUACAGGAUCAUAUUUUCAUGUUACUACAAAAUCCUCUUCGACAUUAUUUUUAAUUGUUGCCUAUUGUGGUAGAGACCCCUGCUUCUCCCCAACUCUCUCAUCUUUCCCUCUUCUUUAGUAACAGAAAUCCCAUGCCCAUUUGGUUAAGCAUGUGCUCACCCUGAAAAAAAAACACACCCAAAACUACAUUUCCCACACUCCCUUGCAGUUAGGUGUGUUCAUGUGACUAAAUUCUGGCCAGUGGAAUAUAAGUAACUUCUAAGUAGUGUCCUCAGGGAGAGGAUACCUGCUCUUCUUCCCACCCUCCUUGCUGGCUGGAAUGCAGAGGUAAUGGCCAGAACCUAAGAGGCUAUUUUGGGCUAUGGUGGAGCAACAAGAGAAAAGGAACCUGAAUCCCUGAGUAGUUUACGAAGUCAUCCACUAGCCUGGAGUGCCGCCUCCACGUUUCCUUUACCUAAGAGAAAAGCCAACUUCUAUUUUAUUUCAGCUCCUGUUACUUUGAUUUCACAGUCACUCCAAGAUGACCCUAAUCCUGAGCAUUGCACUGAUACUUUGCCAGGGGAAUCGUCACACACAUUCUUUGGGGAUUAUCACUUAAUUAACGAAACCAUUCCUUGGUCAGUGGGCAUUUAGGUCGCUUCUGACUCCUCACUAUAAAUAACUCUGUUGUGAACAUCUUUGUGCAUUUUCAUUAUUUCUGAUUAUUUCCUCACUACAGAAUUCCAGAAAAGGGAUUUGGAGGUCAAAGAACAUGAGCAUCCCUAAUACCCGUUCAUGCUUGUGACCUAACUGCUUUCCAAAGUGACAUGCAUGCCCCCCUUCCCCAAAGCAGGGGAAGUGGGGCUCCAUGGUGGAGCCAGGGUAACAAUUCUAACAUUCAAAACCUUUGCCUCCAGUCACCAAGGUGGAAUCAUGGAUAGUCAUUUUCUAAUAGUUCUUGAAUAAAAGAGAAUGAUAAGAAAUAAUUGGCCAUGAAGCUGAAGAACCUAGAAUGAUCUACUGUCAGUCAGGGGGGUCUGAGUUGCAAGCAGUAGAAGCCACCACUUGGCUAGUUUCCAAGGUUAUGGGGUGGUUCUUAGCAUGAGACCCAGGAUUUAUGGGCGAGCGGCCCCCGCGAGCCUGCCAUUUCCCAGAGGGCCCCCCCCCACUGCACCGUCCAGGGCCGGGCCCACGCUCUUCCCCAGCUCUUGUCCUGUGCUUCUUGUCUGAUUGCACAUCUCUGGCAGCAUGUCUAGUCGAUGAAGCCCAAAUCCCACGCUUGCACCAACCUGCAAGGGAGGCUGGGAAAGCGAGUUUUCUGGCAUCUUCCUUGGAAGGUAUAGCUACUAAGGUAGGAGCUUCCCUGAAGGAGGUAUGCAAGGUAUGGAGCAGCCAGAAAGUAGGGCAAAGCUUAGUGCCCAAGUAAAGACGCUGGGCUUGUGGGAGAAAUCCAAAAAGGUUUCUGGCCUCACUUUUUUAUUUCUCUUCCACUUAUGGUGAAAGAAUAGCAGGGAGAAGUACAGACGGCAAGGCAAUCAUCUGCAUGUGUGUCUCCCUUGCAGUUACCCAGCUAGGCAAAUGCUGAGUUAGAGCUGGGAACCCAUGUCCCUCAGGCCCUAAGCCCUGUUCUCUCCGGGCCGCCUGCAGCCAGCAAGUCAUCGGAUGCCGUUAUCUGGUGUAGAUGUGUUUCCUGGACCACUGACCACAUCCUUCAGAUGGGCCCUGGCACACAGUAGGUGCUCAAUGUGCUGGCCGGGCCAAUAGACAAAUGAAGGAGGAACCUUAGAGCCCUGGAACUAACAUGGAUGGAUUCAACCAAGAGUUUCUGAGCAGCUGCAAUACCCCAGGCCCUGGGUUAGGUGCUGAGGAUACUGUGGGGAGAAAACAAACCAAGUUCAUGCCCUCAUAGUGGGCGAGAUGGACAAUAAAUAAGAAAACCCCAAUAUACUAACAUAACACAAGGUAAUAGGAUACGAAACCAGGUGCUGAGAAAUGUUUUAUGAAGAAAUGUAAAACUGGAUAAGUGACUUCGAGAUGCUAAUGCAGAAAAAUGGUUGACCAAGUCCUCUCUGAGGGGGUGACAUUUGAGCAGAGGCCUGAAGAAUGCACGAGAGAAGUAUAUUCCAGGCACAGGAGGCAACCAGUGCAAAGGCCCUGAGGCCUACUGUGUGCUGACACUGCUGGGGGUAGGGACGCUCGCAGGACCGCCCCAGCCUCCUGGAACUCCGAGCACAACGGGGAAGACAGAUAAUGAUCAGAGAUCAGUGCACAAACAUCAUCACAGACUUUGAUCAACACUGAGAAGAAAAGAUACUUGUGCUUCAAGAAUGCGCACCUACACGAAGCUAUGGAAAUAGGCCGCGAGGAUUUACUCCACAAUGUUAAAGGGGUAGUAGCAUUGCAGGUGAUUCUGCCUGUUUCCUUUUCUUUUGCUUGUCUGUCCGUUCUAAUUUCUCUUUUCUUUUCUUUUUUUUUUUUUUGAAUGUCAUGCUUCAUAAUUGAGUGAAUUAAAAACACAAACAAACCCACAAUGAAUAGAGGGGUUGGAAAUCAUGUGUCCAAAGAUGAUUUAACGCCAGGAAAGAAAGGAAAGACACGCAAGAAACUGCUCACUGUGUUGGCUUCCGGGCAGAGGAGCCAGAGGCUGGGGAGGGAAAGAGCUUCUCUUCUCACUGGACACCCUUCGAACCUUUCCGACGUGUGUGCAUUCAAAAAACAAUAAAAAUAAAAUUAGCAAAGGUAUUUUUUUAAUGAAACUUCAAGUUGGGUUUUAUUUCUAUGAAAAAUGAAAAAGCAGGCAAUGGGAGGAUCGCAAUCUAAAUACAUUAACUGAGCCGAAUUUCCACGAAAAUGUUAGGAUGCUUCUCUCUGGGUGACCUUGUUUUCUUCUUUGUAUUUUUCUGUAUCUCCUGUAUUUAAAGUUAGAAGAACAGCCCUAGCUGGUUUGGCUCAGUGGAUAGAGUGUCGGCCUGCAAACCAAAGGGUCCUGGGUUCAA
Molecule: long non-coding RNA, 5241 nt
Organism: Myotis myotis
Lineage: Eukaryota; Metazoa; Chordata; Mammalia; Chiroptera; Vespertilionidae
Exons: 5
Source: RefSeq, a predicted model, not a curated record